This 253-nucleotide ribosomal RNA is filed under the name uncultured bacterium. RNAcentral describes it as "partial 16S ribosomal RNA". It matches the Rfam family "Bacterial small subunit ribosomal RNA", at positions 524 to 776 of the family's 1533-position model. The record is from RNAcentral.
UACGAAGGGGGCUAGCGUUGCUCGGAAUGACUGGGCGUAAAGGGCGCGUAGGCGGAUGGCACAGUCAGAUGUGAAAUUCCCGGGCUUAACCUGGGGGCUGCAUUUGAUACGUGUGAUCUAGAGUGAGGAAGAGGGUCGUGGAAUUCCCAGUGUAGAGGUGAAAUUCGUAGAUAUUGGGAAGAACACCGGUGGCGAAGGCGGCGACCUGGUCCAUUACUGACGCUGAGGCGCGAAAGCGUGGGGAGCAAACAGG